Molecule: non-coding RNA, 29 nt
Filed under: Mus musculus (house mouse)
Lineage: Eukaryota; Metazoa; Chordata; Mammalia; Rodentia; Muridae
Source: RNAcentral
UUGUAAUGCUGUAUAUACACCCAAUUCUA